GGGCGUGUGUGCUGGUAUGAGUCUUCCAUCCUUCUAGAGAGCCACGCCUGCUGUUCACUCAGCUGGGCGUGUGCGAUCUAGAUCAUUUACUUUGAAAAAAUUAGAGUGUUUAAAGCAGGCUUAUGCCCGAAUACAUUAGCAUGGAAUAAUAAAAUAGGACUUCGGUUCUAUUUUGUUGGUUUCUAGAACUGAAGUAAUGAUUGAUAGGGAUAGUUGGGGGUGCUAGUAUUCAGUGGCCAGAGGUGAAAUUCUUGGAUUCACUGAAGACUAACUACUGCGAAAGCAUUCACCAAGGAUGUCUUCUUUAAUCAAGAACGAAAGUUGGGGGAUCGAAGACGAUCAGAUACCGUCGUAGUCUCAACCAUAAACUAUACCGACUAAGGAUCAGUGGACGUCUUAUUUCGACUCCAUUGGCACUUUAUGAGAAAUCAAAGUCUUUGGGUUCCGGGGGGAGUAUGGUCGCAAGGCUGAAACUUAAAGGAAUUGACGGAAGGGCACCACCAGGAGUGGAGCCUGCGGCUUAAUUUGACUCAACACGGGAAAACUCACCAGGUCCAGACAUAGUGAGGAUUGACAGAUUGAAGAUCUUUCUUGAUUCUAUGGGUGGUGGUGCAUGGGCCGUUCUUAGUUGGUGGAGUGAUUUGUCUGGGUUAAUUCCGUUAACGAACGAGACCUCGACCUACUAAAUAGUUGGUCGAAGCCUUUGGCUUGCGCUUACUUCUUAGAGGGACUAUCGG
Molecule: ribosomal RNA, 737 nt
Filed under: uncultured eukaryote
Lineage: Eukaryota
Description: bacterial SSU rRNA
Rfam family: Eukaryotic small subunit ribosomal RNA
Source: RNAcentral